RNAcentral lists this ribosomal RNA (689 nucleotides) under Nematoda environmental sample. Its description in RNAcentral is "bacterial SSU rRNA". It matches the Rfam family "Eukaryotic small subunit ribosomal RNA", at positions 154 to 842 of the family's 1831-position model. The record is from RNAcentral. Lineage: Eukaryota; Metazoa; Nematoda.
AAUUCUAGAGCUAAUACAUGCACGAAAGCUCCGACCCUUGAGGAAAGAGCGCAUUUAUUACACCAAAACCAAUCGAGUACUUCGGUGCUUGUGUUUUGGUGACUCUGAAUAACUUAGUUGAUCGCACAGUCUUAGUACUGGCGACGUAUCUUUCAAAUGUCUGCCUUAUCAACUUUCGAUGGUAGGUUAUACGCCUACCAUGGUUAUAACGGGUAACGGAGAAUUAGGGUUCGACUCCGGAGAGGGAGCCUGAGAAACGGCUACCACAUCCAAGGAAGGCAGCAGGCGCGCAAAUUACCCAAUCUCAGAACGAGGAGGUAGUGACGAAAAAUAACAAAACAGUCCACUCUGUGGUCUGUUAUCGGAAUGGGUACAAUUUAAAUCUUUUAACGAGGAUCCAUUGGAGGGCAAGUCUGGUGCCAGCAGCCGCGGUAAUUCCAGCUCCAAUAGCGUAUAUUAAAGUUGUUGCAGUUAAAAAGCUCGUAGUUGGAUCUCGGGUCCGAGCUGGCGGUUCGAUUCGCGACGACACUGCCCGUCCCGGACCUACCUGCCGGACGUCUCGUCGUGCUCUUCGCUGAGUGCGUCCAGUGACUGGAACGUUUACUUUGAACAAAUUAUAGUGCUCAAAGCAAGCCGUUUGCCUGAAUAACCGCGCAUGGAAUAAUGGAAUAGGACCUCGGAUCUAUUUU